GACGAACCGUGCGAACGUUGUUCGGAAUCACUGGGCUUAAAGGGCGCGUAGGCGGGCCGCCAAGUCCGGGGUGAAAUCCUCCAGCUCAACUGGAGAACUGCCUCGGAUACUGGAGGUCUCGAGGGAGAUAGGGGCACGCGGAACCGUGGGUGGAGCGGUGAAAUGCGUUGAUAUCCAUGGGAACUCCGGUGGCGAAGGCGGCGUGCUGGAUCUCUUCUGACGCUGAGGCGCGAAAGCCAGGGGAUCAAACGGG
RNAcentral lists this ribosomal RNA (253 nucleotides) under uncultured bacterium. RNAcentral describes it as "partial 16S ribosomal RNA". It matches the Rfam family "Bacterial small subunit ribosomal RNA", at positions 524 to 776 of the family's 1533-position model. The record is from RNAcentral.